CUGGCUCUGGGAUGAUGCAAAGGGGAUGGUGGAUACCACCUCAACACACAGAAACAUAAACUUCCAAUUUUGCAACUGCUGCCCCUCAAUCCAAGGUAAUGGAGCCCUACAUCCCAAAUGGAAAGAGGCCCCUGUCCCCUUCCCCACCUCCCAGCCUUACCAGGCCCCACUCCCACACCCCCAGCACAGUGGUCUCAAACUCAACACCUUCUGCCUGUACCUUUAUCUCCACCCUGGCUAACUAACUUGAUUCAUUCUUCAGGUCUAAGCUUAAAAAUAAUUCCCUCCAGAUCUAAAUCAGGACCACAAAUAUCACUGUAUAUCAUGGCAUUAAUCUUAGGUUAUGUUUACACUGAAGUAUCUUUUAACAUCCCUUUCCACCACUGCAUAAUCUCUGUUUGCCACAGGGUCCUCAGACCCUGGAAGAGCACCAACCACAGAGUAGGUACUUAGAAUUUUUUGAAAUGAAUAAAUUAAAAAUUCAGGAACCAGGAUAUGAAGUUAGGGUCUUGACUAUACCACUAAAGACCUUAGAAAGUCACCCAAUCCUUCUAGAUCAGGAAUCUAGCAAACUUCCUGUAAACAGCCAAAUAAUAUUUUACACUUUAAGAGCCAAGAGGCAAAAUCAUGGGCAUCAUUGUGUAGGUACUUCUACAUAUAAUGACAGAAAACUUCUGCCCACUCUCACCCCAUUUGCCUGGGCUAGGGAAUCCCAGAGAGUGGGCAUGCUUUCCACCCAUCAACUAGAGACAUUCUUGGGACAAAGAAUAACAGAGCAGAGAGGGAAAGGAAGUUCUGACUGACCAAGUGAGUGAAGGAAGUCAGUUUCAUUCUCUGUCCCACAGACACUCAGAUCUGACAUCCUCUCUCUGUAACCGAGGACCCCAGAGCAUCUGGCUAGAGGCAAGAGGACUCCAUGGCUCCCAGACUCAGAUUCCACCACUUAGUGCCUGGCAGUAGCCAGCAGCAGAGUUCCUAAUGUGUAGGUGGCGAAGAAUAAGCACAAGCCCUGGGAAGUGGCAAGACCCCUCAAAUGGCCAGUGGGAGAGAUGAGGGAAGAGGUCAGACAAGAAGGAUGUCCUGGCUUGGUCUCCAAAGCUCAGUGCCAGGCCAUUCUCAGUGCCUGCUGACCUUACAAAAACAGAUGAUGACAAAGGCCUCCAACAUUCUGCCUGCACUCAUGUACAGAAGCCCUGGGUGUGUUCUCUAAAAGUAGAAUCCUGAGGACUACAGAGCCCCAUACUCGGAGUUGGAGUGGACCUGGCCCGAAGCCCUCACCACACAAAGUCCUUCCAUAUGAAUGUUCCUGCCUAUGGUCCCUUGCAAUCUUCCUUGUAACUUUCAUCUCUAAACACUUCUCUGACAACUUUGUGCCUAAGCUAAAGAUCCUUCAGUGGUUCUCCACCACCUGCAAAAUAUGAGGCUCUCAUUGCUUCUACAUUUCUAGCCUCCUCUCCUACACUUACCCUUCUAAUAUAGACUUAGUUUUAGCGACAUAAAACUACCUGUCUUUUCCUGAAUGUAAUUCCACAUCUUUAUCCAUGCUGUUCCCUCUGCCUGGGAUUGCCUUUCUCCAUUUGGCCCAAGGCAUGCUUCCUUUAAAACCCAGCUAUCUGACCAUGGUCCAGAUCCUCCCUGCCUCCAACUUCCUCUGUCACCCCAAGGAACACGAAUACAACCUUUACAAUACUUCUGAGGCACUGAUUUUUAAGUAUGCCUCCCCCAUGACACAGGGGCUCCUGGGGGCAGGGGCCCCCCCUUAAUUUCUAUGCCUCUCUGUCCAUUUCUCUCCCACUCACUUACUAAAUGGAAAACAAAAACCCUCUCCUCCUAAGGUUUUAACCUUCACAGCCAAUAUGCAUUUGAGCUCUAUGUUCCAAUCACUUGUAACAGAAUCUUUUUCUUUAAAAGGCUGUUAGAGACCAAAGAUGGUCCCAACUUGUUUUUUUUCCUUUUUAAUGUCUCCUACUACUUCUGCCUUUCUCCUUCCUUUUCCUUGAGAGAUAGUACAGGGCAGAAGAGCUCAAGCCUAGACUCCAAUCUAAACCUGAAUGGAACCAGAUGACCUGAUGCGAGCCACAUUUCCAGUUUCCUCACCUUACACAGGAAUUGGGAAUAACAGAAUCUACCUUAUGGACAGUAUGCUUCACACAGUGUCUGGCAUGAUCUGGGAGAGAUGAGGGAAUAAUAAAUGUUAUCUAGUAUUCUCU
Non-coding RNA from Callorhinus ursinus (northern fur seal), 2210 nucleotides. Lineage: Eukaryota; Metazoa; Chordata; Mammalia; Carnivora; Otariidae. The record is from RefSeq and is a predicted model, not a curated record.